GACGAACGCUGGCGGCGUGCUUAACACAUGCAAGUCGAACGGAAAGGCCCUGCUCUUGUGGGGUGCUCGAGUGGCGAACGGGUGAGUAACACGCGAGUAACCUGUCCUUGACUUUGGGAUAACUUCAGGAAACUGGGGCUAAUACAGGAUAGGAGAUCUUGCUGCAUGGUGGGGGUUGGAAAGUGUCGGCGGUGGGGGAUGGUCUCGCGGCUUAUGAGCUUGUUGGUGGGGUAGUGGCUUACCAAGUCUUUGAAGGGUAGGCGGCGUGGGAGGGUGGCCGGCGACCAGACGCCUACGGGAGGGCGCAGACGGCUACCGGAGGCAGCGGGCGAAAGUAUGACGGAGUGAGGCGGAGCCUGAGACGAAGGUGCCGGGUGCGGAAUGACGGCCUUCGGGUGAAGAACCGCUGUGGACUGUGACGAGGCGGUCGUGACGGUAAUGGGUAAAGAAGCACCGGCUAACUACGUG
This 468-nucleotide ribosomal RNA is filed under the name uncultured bacterium. RNAcentral describes it as "partial 16S ribosomal RNA". It matches the Rfam family "Bacterial small subunit ribosomal RNA", at positions 28 to 507 of the family's 1533-position model. The record is from RNAcentral.